UGGGGAAUAUUGCACAAUGGGGGAAACCCUGAUGCAGCGACGCCGCGUGAACGAAGAAGGUAUUCGUAUCGUAAAGUUCUGUCCUAUGGGAAGAUAAUGACAGUACCAUAGAAGAAAGCUCCGGCUAAAUACGUGCCAGCAGCCGCGGUAAUACGUAUGGAGCGAGCGUUGUCCGGAAUUAUUGGGCGUAAAGGGUACGCAGGCGGUUUAAUAAGUCGAAUGUUAAAGAUCGGGGCUCAACCCCGCAAAGCAUUGGAAACUGAUAAACUUGAGUAGUGGAGAGGAAAGUGGAAUUCCUAGUGUAGUGGUGAAAUACGUAGAUAUUAGGAGGAAUACCAGUAGCGAAGGCGACUUUCUGGACACAAACUGACGCUGAGGUACGAAAGCGUGGUGAGCAAACAGG
This 403-nucleotide ribosomal RNA is filed under the name bacterium. RNAcentral describes it as "partial 16S ribosomal RNA". It matches the Rfam family "Bacterial small subunit ribosomal RNA", at positions 355 to 776 of the family's 1533-position model. The record is from RNAcentral. RNAcentral also lists the same sequence under 1 other name.